UCUGUUGCCAUCGACACAAACAGAAGUCCUAGGUGUGGAGGCAUGGCAGAGCUGUCAGAACACCUGGGGUCGACAUCCGACACUCUGUGUGAUUUUGGACAAGUUCCCACUCCUCUCGGAGCUGGUUCCUCAUCUGAAAAAUGAGGUUGCAAUACCUACCUCUGAGAUGGGGAGGGGAUCGAAUAAAAUAAGAGGUGUCAUAGCCCCGAGGAAGCGAGAAGUAAUUCCUUCAACAGCUACUCAGGAAGCACCUGGCACUGUUGCUGUCAAACAGGACGAAAAAAGGACCCGCCCUCUUGGAGUUUCCAUUCGAAGGGGGCAUUUGCACUGGAGUUAUUUGCCGGACCAGCUCUUCCUGAAGGAGCCUGUCUCUAUUUGUGAAACCACCAAGUUCCCCAUCACGUCAGAACCUCAGGAUCGUCUCUGACAGGAAGGUGAAAGUUCCCCUUCCCACUUUGUCCUCAAGUUCCUGACUAUUCUCCCACUUCCGGCAGGCUCUUGGGAUGGCCAGGGUAGGCGAAGCCAAGAAGUUCCUUUAUGAUCUGACCUUUUUGGUUCCUGCUUCUUGCCCAGUGCAGCCAUGGUAAAUACAUCUUCAUCAGGGCCUGGUCACUCAGCGAACCAGCCCUGGUCAGCAGCCUACAGAGGCCCCACCCUGCGCCAGCCCUUGGGGCAGACAUGCCCUGGGGGUGCUCAAGAUCUAACAGAGGUGUGAGGCUGAAACAGGUGAAAUAAGGAGGGGCAAACAAGUAUGCAAGGAAUUGUUUAAAUAGCAAGGCGGUUGGCUGGACUGAGCUCCUCGUGAAAGGAUGGGCAUAUUAAAUGGAUCCAAGGUCUAGUCUAUGACCAAGAUCAGAACUCAGUCUGGGGCUGGGUUUAUGCCUCAAUAUAUGGCCAGGAUCAGACCUCAGGCUGGGACCAAGGUUAGGGCUCAGAUUGUGACCAAGAUCAAGGCUCAGACUAUGACCAAGAUUAGGGCUCGGUCUGUGGCCAAGAUUACAGUCCAAAUGAGACCUGAGGUCCAAGGCCAUUCUCUGGCCAGAGCGAGGCUAAACUGUGGUCAGGAUCAUGGCUCAGUUU
Molecule: long non-coding RNA, 1080 nt
Filed under: Equus caballus (horse)
Lineage: Eukaryota; Metazoa; Chordata; Mammalia; Perissodactyla; Equidae
Description: lncRNA (ENSECAG00000038269.3)
Source: RNAcentral